RNAcentral lists this ribosomal RNA (460 nucleotides) under uncultured bacterium. RNAcentral describes it as "partial 16S ribosomal RNA". It matches the Rfam family "Bacterial small subunit ribosomal RNA", at positions 338 to 795 of the family's 1533-position model. The record is from RNAcentral.
CCUACGGGAGGCAGCAGUGAGGAAUAUUGGUCAAUGGCCGGAAGGCUGAACCAGCCAUGCCGCGUGAAGGUCAGUGCCCUAUGGGCGUUAAACUUCUUUUGUGCGGGAGCAAUAAUGGUCACGUGUGGCCAGACGAGAGUACCGUACGAAUAAGCAUCGGCUAACUCCGUGCCAGCAGCCGCGGUAAUACGGGGGAUGCAAGCGUUAUCCGGAUUUAUUGGGUUUAAAGGGUGCGUAGGCUGUGAGGUAAGUCAGCGGUGAAAUGCCCCCGCUCAACGGGGUGAAGUGCCAUUGAUACUGGCUGGCUGGAAUGCGGAUGCCGUGGGAGGAAGGUGUGGUGGAGCGGUGAAAUGCAUAGAUAUCACACAGAACACCGAGUGCGAAGGCAUCUCACGAAUCCGCGAUUGACGCUGAUGCACGAAAGCGUGGGUAUCAAACAGGAUUAGAUACCCGGGUAGUC